CCAAUAGCGUAUAUUAAAGUUGUUGCAGUUAAAAAGCUCGUAGUUGAAUUUCGGGACCAGUAUGUUGGUCGUGCUUCGGUACGUACUGUCAUUACUGGUUUCUACCUUCUGAAGAACCUUGAUGUCAUUAAUUUGGUGUCUUGGGGAAUCAGGACUGUUACUUUGAAAAAAUUAGAGUGUUUAAAGCAAGCAUACGCUUGAAUACAUUAGCAUGGAAUAAUGAAAUAGGACGUUUGAUUCUAUUUUGUUGGUUUCUAGGAUCGACGUAAUGAUUAAUAGGGGUAGUUGGGGGCAUUAGUAUUCAAUUGUCAGAGGUGAAAUUCUUGGAUUUAUUGAAGACUAAUUACUGCGAAAGCAUUUGCCAAGGAUGUUUUCAUUAAUCAAGAACGAAAGUUAGGGGAUCGAAGACAAUCAGAUACCGUCGUAGUCUUAACCAUAAACUAUGCCAACUAGGGAUCGGAUGAUGUUAUUUUUAAUGACUCAUUCGGCGCCUUACA
This 497-nucleotide ribosomal RNA is filed under the name uncultured Glomus. RNAcentral's name for it is "SSU rRNA". It matches the Rfam family "Eukaryotic small subunit ribosomal RNA", at positions 591 to 1092 of the family's 1831-position model. Lineage: Eukaryota; Fungi; Glomeromycota; Glomeromycetes; Glomerales; Glomeraceae. The record is from RNAcentral.